Molecule: ribosomal RNA, 430 nt
Filed under: uncultured delta proteobacterium
Lineage: Bacteria; Deltaproteobacteria
Also listed under: 1 other name
Description: bacterial SSU rRNA
Rfam family: Bacterial small subunit ribosomal RNA
Source: RNAcentral
AACGCGAAGAACCUUACCAGGGCUUGACAUCCUCUGUAAAGUGCAGAAAUGCACUCCCCAUGGCAACAUGGCAGGGUGACAGGUGCUGCAUGGCUGUCGUCAGCUCGUGUCGUGAGAUGUUGGGUUAAGUCCCGCAACGAGCGCAACCCUCGUCGAGUGUUGCCAUCAUUUAGUUGGGCACUCACUCGAGACCGCCGUUGAUAAGACGGAGGAAGGUGGGGAUGACGUCAAGUCCGCAUGGCCCUUACGUCCUGGGCUACACACGUGCUACAAUGGCCGGUACAACGGGCAGCUAGUCCGCAAGGACAAGCUAAUCCCUUAAAAACCGGUCUCAGUUCGGAUUGAAGGCUGCAACUCGCCUUCAUGAAGUCGGAAUCGCUAGUAACUGCAGAUCAGCUACGCUGCGGUGAAUACGUUCCCGGGCCUUGUA